RNAcentral lists this ribosomal RNA (1021 nucleotides) under uncultured bacterium. RNAcentral's name for it is "bacterial SSU rRNA". It matches the Rfam family "Bacterial small subunit ribosomal RNA", at positions 357 to 1376 of the family's 1533-position model. The record is from RNAcentral.
AGGAAUAUUGGUCAAUGGGCGAGAGCCUGAACCAGCCAAGUCGCGUGAGGGAAGACGGCCCUACGGGUUGUAAACCUCUUUUGUCAGGGAGCAAGAACAGGCACGUGUGCCUGACUGAGAGUACCUGAAGAAAAAGCAUCGGCUAACUCCGUGCCAGCAGCCGCGGUAAUACGGAGGAUGCGAGCGUUAUCCGGAUUUAUUGGGUUUAAAGGGUGCGUAGGCGGACUGCCAAGUCAGCGGUAAAAUAGCGGGGCUCAACCCCGUCGAGCCGUUGAAACUGGUGGUCUUGAGUGGGCGAGAAGUACGCGGAAUGUGUGGUGUAGCGGUGAAAUGCAUAGAUAUCACGCAGAACUCCGAUUGCGAAGGCAGCGUACCGGCGCCCGACUGACGCUGAAGCACGAAAGCGUGGGUAUCGAACAGGAUUAGAUACCCUGGUAGUCCACGCAGUAAACGAUGAAUGCUAGCUGUCCGGGACGAAUGAGUCCUGGGUGGCACAGCGAAAGCGUUAAGCAUUCCACCUGGGGAGUACGCCGGCAACGGUGAAACUCAAAGGAAUUGACGGGGGCCCGCACAAGCGGAGGAACAUGUGGUUUAAUUCGAUGAUACGCGAGGAACCUUACCCGGGCUCAAACGCACUACGAAUGAUGCUGAAAGGUGUCAGCCAGCAAUGGCGUAGUGCGAGGUGCUGCAUGGUUGUCGUCAGCUCGUGCCGUGAGGUGUCGGCUUAAGUGCCAUAACGAGCGCAACCCCUACCGACAGUUGCUAACUGGUCAAGCAGAGGACUCUGUCGGGACUGCCGGCGCAAGCUGUGAGGAAGGCGGGGAUGACGUCAAAUCAGCACGGCCCUUACGUCCGGGGCGACACACGUGUUACAAUGGCAGGUACAGCGGGAAGCCACCUGGCGACAGGGAGCGGAACCCGAAAACCUGUCUCAGUUCGGAUUGGAGUCUGCAACCCGACUCCAUGAAGCUGGAUUCGCUAGUAAUCGCGCAUCAGCCAUGGCGCGGUGAAUACGUUCCCG